GUGUAUAAACAUAUGUUUGCAAGUCAACUGUAAUAGUUGAAAUUUCAAUAAAGAUUAUUGAAAAAAAAAAAAGAAAGUCAACAUAGAUGCACUGUAUUUUCCGAUUGCCAAAGGUGAGCACUGGGUUAUAUUUCUUCACACCUGUAUGUUAACUUAUGUCUAACAGUGUAGCAGGUCGACUGUGAUUCCUCAAUUAUUCUUCUAUGCUGUUGUGCCCAGUUGUUGGACUGCAGAGGUUGUGGUGUAGUGCUCCAUAUAUAGCAGUGUAUAAAGCUGGCCAUAAACAAUCCUAUAAAAGUUUCUGACUGUCCUUCCAGACCAAGUCCACAUUAUUGGCCUUUGUAUGGGGCCCAUAAAUAUGUAUCUGACAGGUUUAAUAAUACUUUAACGAAAGCAUUGGUGCGCUGAUGGCCUUUGGGUCAAUGAUCAGAUCAGCCUGAUUUGGACCAGCAGUUGGGUGGCCAAAUAAGGGUGAGAAUAAUGCAUUGUAGGAAAAAUUUUCUUUUCCAUUUUGAAAUCAUUAAGUGAAACAGCCAUAAAAUAUACUGGCUGAGGUAUAUAAGAAGGCCACUUUUAAUGGAAUAGAAAAGAACAAACUGCUGAAACACUUUGCUUUAUCUACAGUCUAAAGACUAGUCGUUUUCUGUAGAAUAUAAUUUUUGGAAACAUACUGUAAGCUGCUGAUUUAGCUUCCGGAGACCUUCCAGCCUUUAUCUUCCAGGAUCGUACGAUUACUGUGAUGUUGCCCACAGAGGAGGCAACUGAAACCAAAGUGGUCAAAAACAGCUUAAAUCCAACUUGGAAUGAGACAUUUCAGGUAUAACUUGAUCAGUUAUAGAAAAAAAACUUAUAUUCCUCUCUUGGUCAAUAUGUAAAUACAAUAGCAGCUUCCACACUACACAAAAAUAAUAAAAUAUCCAAUAGCUUUCACUCAUUGAUAAAUUAUAUUCUAACAAUUCUAUAGGACGUUUUUCUACGAAGAGCUCUAAUCUCACAUUUUGAUAAAUCUGUCCCUAUGUGUUCUUUACACACAAUAAAACCUUUUUACGGUAACACAUUUUUGCAUUAUAUAACCUUGUAUGUUUUUAGAUGGCCCUUAAAUAACAACUCAAGUGUUGAGUUAUAAUUUGGGUGAAAAAUAAACUUUUGGGCAGGUGAACUUAUAAUAUUAUUGUUAUCCAAUAUUUCCAUAUCUGUCUCAGCAAUUAUAAUAUAGUUAUAUGCCCUUUCUGAAUUUCAGCUACUCUGUUGCUCUGUUUUAUUUGUGUAAUUGACCUCUUUUUCCUUUCUCCCAUAUCUAGCUGCCAGAUCAGCAUUGAAAACAUCCUUACGCACUCUGUCACUGACAUGGUGCUGAUGGAGAACAGAAACUCUGCUGUGUAGAUUCAGAAAUUUUGGCCAGCUAUCCUCUAUGUCUAUGUUAGAAGUGCAGACCAUCAGAAAUAGUAAGGACCCAUUGUGGAACAAGUCAUACCAUUUUCCAACACAGAUCCCUUAUGAGAAGAAAUUACAUGUUUCUACUUCAAUCUGUAGCUGUGCAUGGUGAGCUUUUGCCUUUUUUUAUUGCUUUGUUUGCUGUAAUUCUGCAGAUUCUUUUCCUUGUUAUUGAGGGAAAAGGCGUGCGUCACAGGCGCUUGGGCACCUUGUCUAUGUCUGUCUGUGACCUAGUGUUGGCAGAAAACCUCACCAUGGAAGGCUGGUUUAAAUUGCAUUCACCUCAUCCACUGGCUACUAUCAACAUAAGACUGUAGUUGAAGGUAAGCAAGAGAUAUUCCACACUCUAUUCUGAAACUCAUUUAAGAUAUUUGUGUAUUUAACGAAAAGUUUAUCAUGUACAGAGAACUUUCUAUUCUCCAAAUAGAGGGAAUAAUUUUAUUUUACUCUGAAACAUACAUAAGGGUCCAAAUAUGGCUCCAUUAGUUACGGAAUAAAUUAACUGUAAUGAUAUGCAGGUGAUCAGGAAAUAAUUGAAGGAAAUAAUUAAUUUUCUGUCAUGUCUCCAUAAAAUCAAUCUGAUUCCCUCAAAUGUAUGUUGCUAUAUAGUGAUUGUUUCACAGUCAGCCUUUUAAAACCAAAAUCCUUUUUAGUAAAACAAUUUAUCUGAUAUUUAAAAAUAAGAUAGUAAUAAUACA
Long non-coding RNA from Xenopus laevis (African clawed frog), 2132 nucleotides. RefSeq lists it as uncharacterized. Lineage: Eukaryota; Metazoa; Chordata; Amphibia; Anura; Pipidae. The transcript has 3 exons. The record is from RefSeq and is a predicted model, not a curated record.